This is an RNA transcript of Vigna radiata var. radiata (mung bean), 1462 nucleotides long. It is a transcript of the gene named lipid phosphate phosphatase gamma, with no coding region annotated. NCBI's taxonomy places the organism in Eukaryota, Viridiplantae, Streptophyta, Magnoliopsida, Fabales, Fabaceae. The transcript is spliced from 3 exons. The record is from RefSeq and is a predicted model, not a curated record.
AAAAGACUCAAACUUGCAAAGACACACAUUCACAGUCUCUCAGUUAACUUACCACUUUUGUUCACUCCAAACCCAAACCCAAACCCGAAAACCCAUUUCUCAGUCUUCGGCUUCAGAUCUACCAUGACGCCGCCGUUGAAGGCUGUGACGUUGACGCACGUGCGCUACCAGAAGGGCGACCGCCUAGGGCACUUCCUGGCAUGGAUUUCCCUCGUCCCCGUCUUCAUCUCCUUAGGCGGCUUCGUCUCCCACUUCCUCUUUCGCCGCGAGCUCCAAGGCAUGUUCUUCGCGCUCGGCCUCAUCUUGUCGCAGUUCAUCAACGAAGUCAUCAAGACCUCCGUCCAGCAGGCACGGCCCGCCACCUGCGCACUCCUGGAGAUGUGCGACUCACACGGCUGGCCCUCCAGCCACUGCCAGUACAUGUUCUUCUUCGCCACUUAUCUCACUCUUCUCUCCCUCAAAGGUCUCACCUUCUGGCACGUGCGCGACAACCCUUUCCUCCACCUCCUCACGUGGUCCCUCGCGCUCCUCACCAUGUACUCUCGCGUCUACCUUGGUUACCACACUGUUGCUCAGGUCCUCGCCGGAACUGUGCUUGGGGUUUUUCUUGGUGCGGUUUGGUUCUGGGUUGUUAACUCCGUUUUGCACCCUUACUUUCCUCUUAUCGAAGAGAGCGCGUUUGGGAGAAGGCUCUAUGUGAAGGACACUUCUCAUAUUAGUAAUGUGUUGAAGUUUGAGUAUGAUAUGGCCAGGGCUGAGAGACGGAACUUGACGUCUAAUUCUAAGGAGGAUUGACUGUUUGUCCAAGGCUCUAAGUUCACAUGCAAAACAAAGCACGUCAUAGACUAACAUACUGCUGAACCAGCCAAAAUGAGAGCUUCAGAUACUGUGAACUGAAGCUCAAGGUUAUUCGAUAUUUUGAUUGCUGCCAUUAUCAUUAGAAUUAGGACACCGAGACCCCCUUUACUGCAUAUUGUGGCAUAUGGCUCCAAAUUUUUCUUUUAGGAUUUGUGUUCGUUGGUCUUUAUGGCAUUAUUAUUAUAUAUAGAAACCUAUUGGCUCAGUCACUCAUAAAUGGUACCAAUGAAGAAAGCUGAAGAGCACAAUUACAUGAUACAGUGAUGUCUGUUGAAUAGAACUGUGUAAAGAUGGACGUGAUGCUAUAGAUAGAGAAAUGAAUAUUCUAUCUUGUUUACUUACAUGGGUUUUAAAAGAUGUAUUGACACAAAUAUAGCUAAUGGUUUAUUCAGAAGGGUUAGAUAUGUUUUUAGUCCCUCAACUAUCAUGUGAUUUUAGAUUUAGUCUCUCUUUCAAACUUUGGGACACUUUGAUCCUUAUUUUUAAGGAAACUGUAAUAUUUUGUUCUCCAAAAGUAACGCCAUUAAAAUUAAGAUGAGCUGACUAAUGGUGUGCUACAUUAUUUUUUCUUUUUCUAAAACUGAGUCAAUUCUUUCUUGCUUUU